UUCUUUUGAUUUUGAUUAUUUUGAUUUUAUUUUUCAACCCUCCUUUUUUUUUUUUACAUUGUAAUGCCCUAGUUUGAUUGUUUUGCUGAUUCUCAGGAUACAGCUGAAUGAUCUUCUUUUCAUACUCAAGAAGAUGGGUAAUCUCAUCAGGAAUCCCCUCAACAUCAUCUUCCUCUACUUCGAAUACAGGGAAUUCAAAAUUGGGAGAUGGCGUUGGAUCAAUAUGUUCAAUGGGUUUUAG
This 241-nucleotide long non-coding RNA is filed under the name Lathyrus oleraceus (garden pea). RNAcentral describes it as "Pisum sativum (pea) long non-coding RNA (PSAT_LNC006961)". Lineage: Eukaryota; Viridiplantae; Streptophyta; Magnoliopsida; Fabales; Fabaceae. The record is from RNAcentral.